GCUAUUCCCUCGUCCGGUCAUUUUCGUAAUGGGCACCACCCCAAGGGCUCGCCGGUUUCCCUCGUCUGAGAUUUAGACGGCAGUAGCUGAAGCUUCCAAGCUUAGGAAGGGGGUGGUGGU
This 120-nucleotide transfer RNA is filed under the name Escherichia coli. RNAcentral describes it as "tRNA-Tyr". The record is from RNAcentral. Lineage: Bacteria; Pseudomonadati; Pseudomonadota; Gammaproteobacteria; Enterobacterales; Enterobacteriaceae.